GGAUUGUGGCUCAGUGGCAGAGUGCUUGCCUCACAUGUAUGAGGCACAGGGUUCAAUCCUCAGCACCA
RNAcentral lists this transfer RNA (68 nucleotides) under Marmota monax (woodchuck). Its description in RNAcentral is "tRNA.Val". Lineage: Eukaryota; Metazoa; Chordata; Mammalia; Rodentia; Sciuridae. The record is from RNAcentral.